GACAUAAACAGGCUCUUGAGCCAUUUCAUGAGGCAAAGGCAUCCUCGGAUGAUGCAUAUCAAGUACAUGAGGAGGGACCAUAGGCUGACCAAAAGGUGCCAGUAUUCCACCAUAGUAUGGGUCAACAUACAGAUUUGGAGCACAUGCCAUGGAGUGCGCAACAAGUUCAAACUGUGGGGGUUGUGUUAUGCACCCAUCACCCUUUGGAGGUAUGGCAGAUGCCAUUGGCUGUAAAUUCUGAUCUACUUGCACAUAACUCCCAUCUAACUCUGAAUGCUUAGGUAUGGUACUUUGUGAUUUUUCAGGAGUAUCAUCAGCUUCCUCGUUGGAUCCACCAUCAGACUGUGAUCGGCCAUCCACAGCUUGUUCGGGUGAUGGUGAAUCUGAUGGACUUCCCCGCAUCAGUCCAAGAGAAACAGGAUUAUUACCAGCAGUAUUCCACCAAGGUUCUAAAGUGGAAUUAGGAACAUUAUAAGUUCUGGCUUCCCCACAAUUUGCACUUUUGGACUCUGAUUGCAUGCUUCUCUAGUUCUAGUAAGUUUAGUUCUUCGUACAAUGUUCAGGUGAAAGGGAAGAGGCAGAAGAGAGAGUAGAGUGAACAG
This 602-nucleotide unclassified non-coding RNA is filed under the name Hevea brasiliensis (rubber tree). Lineage: Eukaryota; Viridiplantae; Streptophyta; Magnoliopsida; Malpighiales; Euphorbiaceae. The record is from RNAcentral.